UACGGGGGGGGUAAGCGUUGUUCGGAAUUACUGGGCGUAAAGGGCUCGUAGGCGGCCAACUAAGUCAUACGUGAAAUCCCUCAGCUUAACUGGGGAACUGCGUGUGAUACUGGAUGGCUUGGAUUUGGGAGAGGGAUGCGGAAUUCCAGGUGUAGCGGUGAAAUGCGUAGAUAUCUGGAGGAACACCGAUGGCGAAGGCAGUGUUCUGGGCCAGUACUGACGCUGAGGAGCGAAAGCGUGGGGAGCAAACAGG
This 253-nucleotide ribosomal RNA is filed under the name uncultured bacterium. RNAcentral's name for it is "partial 16S ribosomal RNA". It matches the Rfam family "Bacterial small subunit ribosomal RNA", at positions 524 to 776 of the family's 1533-position model. The record is from RNAcentral.